RNAcentral lists this ribosomal RNA (473 nucleotides) under Clavispora lusitaniae. RNAcentral describes it as "eukaryotic LSU rRNA". It matches the Rfam family "Eukaryotic large subunit ribosomal RNA", at positions 74 to 564 of the family's 3401-position model. The record is from RNAcentral. Lineage: Eukaryota; Fungi; Ascomycota; Pichiomycetes; Serinales; Metschnikowiaceae.
AUGCCCCCAGUACGGCGAGUGAAGCGGCAAAAGCUCAAAUUUGAAAUCCUGCGGGAAUUGUAAUUUGAAGGUUUCGUGGUCUGAGUCGGCCGCGCCCAAGUCCAUUGGAACAUGGCGCCUGGGAGGGUGAGAGCCCCGUCCGGCGCACGCCGACUCUUUGCACCGCGGCUCCGACGAGUCGAGUUGUUUGGGAAUGCAGCUCUAAGUGGGUGGUAAAUUCCAUCUAAAGCUAAAUAUUGGCGAGAGACCGAUAGCGAACAAGUACAGUGAUGGAAAGAUGAAAAGCACUUUGAAAAGAGAGUGAAACAGCACGUGAAAUUGUUGAAAGGGAAGGGCUUGCAAGCAGACACGGUUUUACCGGGCCAGCGUCGAAAAGGGGGGAGGAACAAGAACUCGAGAAUGUGGCGCGCACCUUCGGGUGCGCGUGUUAUAGCUCGUGUUGACGCCUCCAUCCCUUUUCGAGGCCUGCGAUU